UAAGUCCAUGGCUUCGUAUAACUUUGCUUGUAUAAUUCUCUUCUCUACAAUCUUUUUUGUCCUCUUUACGCCUCAUCAAUGUAAGUUCAUUAUAGACCUUUAUUUUUUCUAUUCCAAUCAAUAUUUUAAAAGACGUAAAGUGUGAUAAGACGACAAGAUCAAAUCUAGGUAAAGUCUAAGCAAAAUCUAGAUGAACUUUUUAGAACGGUGAUUCGAAAUUUUUACUCAUGGAAAAGAGUUAUUUGCCUUCAAACUUGACUUUCGUGCAUUCCAUUGUAGCCGAAGUCUUGAGGGUUGAAAGGUAAGAAUAUAGGAAUCAAAUUGACAUAUUGAUCAAAUCAUAUAAUUUUCCCCUGAUAUUGGAGAUAACACAUAAAUAACAAAUCAAAAUGUUCCCCCCGCCCCAUCUCUGUGCUGCAUUAGUUAUAAUAAUAUUGAAAAGAAGAGCAAAGCAUUCAGCACUUGUUUAGUCAACGGUGCUAUACCUCGGUAUGGAAAUAUAAAAAAACAAAAUUAAUUUUUUUUUCUAAUUUAACAUUUCUGUUUAUUUUCGACCUAUCAAACAUAUAUUUAUAAAGGUUCAAAUGUUAUUUAUUAAUAUCUUGCCUGCGUUAACUUAUAAUUUAAAUAGGGAACAAGAACAAGAGCACAAUUUAAGAGGAAGAUGUGAAAAUGAUAGCAUGAAGAUUGUAAAAAUUUUAAUGUAUUGCUAUAAUACUCACUUAAGACAGGAGAUUACAUGCUUAUAAUUCUCUUAAGAAAUAACGAAUAAGAUUUUAAUAUUUUUUCUGAUUAAAAUUUUGUUUAUUGCUAUUGAGUUUGACCUAUCAAAUAUGUAGCAAUAAUGGUUCAAAUGUUCACUAUUAAUUUCUUGUCUGUAUAUUUUGUUUUAAUUUCUUAAUUUUGAUUUAAAUAGGUCACAUAAACAAGAAUGCAAUUGAGCAGGGAGACACAGAGAUUAUAACACCUUCGAACGCAAGUCAAAGUGAUUUAAAGGAGGAAAAAAUAUAUCUUGAUUUUUGCAAGAUGGAUAAGUGUUAUUUUGGAAGAUGCUGGUGUUGUCAUAGACCUGGCCAUUAUUUUCAAGUAUGCUUUCAUCAUCAUACUGUGUGUCAGGCACUUUGCCCGACUUAUCCUCCAGUAGGGAAACAUCGAAAAAUUUUACCAUGAUCAUUUUAUAUUUGAACAUGUGUAUGUGUAACACAUAUAUAAACUGAAUAAUUUGGUUUUCGA
RNAcentral lists this long non-coding RNA (1233 nucleotides) under Olea europaea (common olive). RNAcentral describes it as "long non-coding RNA (OEUR_LNC007064)". The record is from RNAcentral. Lineage: Eukaryota; Viridiplantae; Streptophyta; Magnoliopsida; Lamiales; Oleaceae.